Molecule: transfer RNA, 97 nt
Filed under: Mycobacterium tuberculosis
Lineage: Bacteria; Bacillati; Actinomycetota; Actinomycetes; Mycobacteriales; Mycobacteriaceae
Description: tRNA-???(accc)
Source: RNAcentral
GAACGCGUGGCUGGAGGGCACCUACAGCGAGGUGUACCCGCACGUCUCGCAGGACGCCGAGGGCAUGCGGCGGCUGUUCCGCCAGUUCUCGUUUCCC